CAAACCUGACAGAUUUCUCCAGAAAAGUGGCCAUCCGUGGAAAUGAGGGAAAUAUUCUUUCUAUUCCA
RNAcentral lists this long non-coding RNA (68 nucleotides) under Meriones unguiculatus (Mongolian gerbil). RNAcentral describes it as "SOX2 overlapping transcript exon 2 (ENSMUGG00000022672.1)". It matches the Rfam family "SOX2 overlapping transcript exon 2". Rfam says of the family: SOX2 overlapping transcript (SOX2OT) is a long non-coding RNA, containing at least 5 exons. The SOX2 gene, an important regulator of neurogenesis, lies within one of the introns of SOX2OT. Lineage: Eukaryota; Metazoa; Chordata; Mammalia; Rodentia; Muridae. The record is from RNAcentral.